GUGAACGCUGGCGGUAGGCCUAACACAUGCAAGUCGAACGGCAGCACAGUAAGAGCUUGCUCUUACGGGUGGCGAGUGGCGGACGGGUGAGGAAUACAUCGGAAUCUACUUUUUCGUGGGGGAUAACGUAGGGAAACUUACGCUAAUACCGCAUACGACCUACGGGUGAAAGCAGGGGAUCUUCGGACCUUGCGCGAUUGAAUGAGCCGAUGUCGGAUUAGCUAGUUGGCGGGGUAAAGGCCCACCAAGGCGACGAUCCGUAGCUGGUCUGAGGGGAUGAUCAGCACACCGGGAAAUAGGAACAGGUCCAAACCCCUAAGGGAGGCAGCGGGGGGAAAUUUUGGGAAAGGGGCGGAGGCCUAGACCGGCCAAUCCGCGGGGGUGAAAAAGGCCUUCGGGUUGUAAAGCCCUUUUUUUGGGAAAGAAAAACGGCCGGUUAAUCCCCCGCUGUUCUGACGGUACCCAAAAAAAAAGCCCCGGCUAACUUCGU
RNAcentral lists this ribosomal RNA (490 nucleotides) under uncultured bacterium. RNAcentral describes it as "partial 16S ribosomal RNA". It matches the Rfam family "Bacterial small subunit ribosomal RNA", at positions 29 to 506 of the family's 1533-position model. The record is from RNAcentral.